RNAcentral lists this ribosomal RNA (365 nucleotides) under uncultured bacterium. RNAcentral's name for it is "bacterial SSU rRNA". It matches the Rfam family "Bacterial small subunit ribosomal RNA", at positions 135 to 507 of the family's 1533-position model. The record is from RNAcentral.
UGGGGGGGACAACAGUUGGAAACGACUGCUAAUACCGCAUAAUGUUUCUGGACCGCAUUGAUCUGGAAACCAAAGCUUUUAUGUGCUGAGAGAUGGCCUCGCGUCUGAUUAGCUAGUUGGUGGGGUUAAACGGGCCCACCAAAGGCGACGAUCAGUAGCCGGUCUGAGAGGAUGAACGGCCACAUUGGGACUGAGAUACGGGCCCAGACUCCUACAGGAGGCAGCAGUGGGGAAUAUUGGGGCAAUGGGCGCAAGCCUGACCCAGCAAUGCCGCGUGAAGGAAGACGGUUUUUCGGAUUUGUAAACUUCUUUUAAGAGGGACGAUAAUGACGGUACCUCUUGAAUAAGCCACGGCUAACUACGUG